GUAAUAUAAGAAUGCGUCUCUUAACUUUUAACUAAAAAAACUAAGAACCGGUUCUUAAAUAUCUUAUUUAAGAACCGGUUUUUAGCUUUUUUAGUUAAAAGUUAAGAGACGGGUUUUUAUAUUCC
Molecule: non-coding RNA, 125 nt
Organism: Brassica napus (rape)
Lineage: Eukaryota; Viridiplantae; Streptophyta; Magnoliopsida; Brassicales; Brassicaceae
Source: Rfam